GGUACAAAAGUGGUUACAUAGAAGAAAAAUCAGCGAAUUUUGAAAAUCCUGUAGAUUUUGCAUUUGGAGAUUCCUGCAACUCACAUUGUGAAGUUCCAGGAUGUGAAAAUGUUGCUAUUAUUCGCUGCUCCUGGUGUAAAAAGUCGCUAUGUUUUAAACAUUUUUUUGAUGACUAUCAUUACUGCAGUACUUACAACGGCUAGAAUAGCCUGCGAUUAUAUAUUCGCUUCUAUCUAUCGCUACAGUGAUUAUUUUGUUAGACUGUUUACCUAUCAUCAAUAAAAGAUAAAAGCAUGUUGCACGUUUUCGUUUUUUUUCGUUGACUACACAGUUUUUCUAUGUGACAUCCCGAAACUUUGUCUAUCUACCGAAACAAAUAUGUGUAAGCGCUUAUCGUACGCCUAUAUAAUCUCAUUGCCAAAUAUAAAUCAAUCGGAAUUAUCGAUAAGCCAUAUAUGUAUACUUUUUCAUCGAAAAAUCGAUCUAUAAAUAAGUUGGCUUCUAGAUAAAACCGUUCAUUUCAUGAUAUAUAUGUGGCACGGUUGUUGUAAAUUUGAAGAAAACACGUAUCACGAGGAGAAGAAAUAAGAAAACAAAGAAAUACUGCCGUUUUAUUGAGAUUUACUGUAGACAUAUACAGGGGUAGUUCACCCCCUUAACUUCAUUUGCGGUAAAAACGCAAAAACCCGUAUCUACUACUUUUUUGCCCUCUUCAAAAUGCAAUUGAAACCAUCGAGAUAGGUGCUAUAGUUUUUUUGUUAUAACGAUUUUGUGAAUUUCAACCCCUAUAACUUUUUUCCUGUGCAACCCCCCGAUAUGAAACCAGUUGCAUUUUCCAUCGUUUAUCAUUAAGUUGAUUAUCUAUUUGGGUGCAUUCGCUUAUCUCGAGUGAAAAUAGGCGAAACCUGAAAACUACCCUCGGAGGUCUCAACUUUAGGGGAUAUUUUCACCCCUUAGAAACGUUUUUCCGCCGAUAAAAAAAAAUACGUGUCUCUUAGAUUUUGAUGUAGAAUAACAUAUUUCAAUUUAAUUGAAAUCGAAGGGGGUCAGCGGAAAGACUUUCCUUGUUAGUAUGUACGACUUAAUGUUGAAGUACCUAAUA
Melitaea cinxia (Glanville fritillary) is the source of this 1102-nucleotide long non-coding RNA. RefSeq lists it as uncharacterized. The transcript has 5 exons. Lineage: Eukaryota; Metazoa; Arthropoda; Insecta; Lepidoptera; Nymphalidae. The record is from RefSeq and is a predicted model, not a curated record.